AUUAUUGCUGCUACACACUGUCAUGAUUUGUCUUGGAUGAACCCGGACACAGCACGCACACACAGAGCUGGUUUGCGAGUUUAUUGCACACGGUAGAUGAUGGAUGACAAGAACCAGAGUCAGUUACCAGACGGAGUAGGGUGCAGGAGCUGGCUGACGAGAACGGACCAGUACAGACAGAGCAGGAUCUGGAGACGGACUGGAAAAAAGGCAGGAGUGGUGUUCAAAAGACAGGAGCAAACUGACUGACAGGCGUGAUAUUGGACUUGACUGAAGACGAGCCGGCGAUGAGGAACAGACUGAGAUUGAUCAAAACUUUAUUCUGGAAUUUGGAGAAGAUAUAUCCUCAAAGCUUUUGGAGAGGUGGCCUACUAUUUUCAAACAGAAAGUAAUCCAGCAGAGGAAGACUCUUCUUACCUCAAGUAACCUUGAAGGAGUGAUCUACUGUGCUGAAGGAGCUUCAAAUGAGAAGGAAUUGGAAAACUUUGCAUUUGGCUGGGAUAGUGAUCUUGCUUCCAUCAUUCUCCUGCUCCACCUGAUUCCUCCUUCCUGUCAAGGCUGCAAAAGACCUGGCAAGGUUUCUACAUCCCAAGCUGAGAAGCACAUUGUGGUCUUCCAGAAGAGUGGAACAAGUAUUCAGCAACAUGUUGAAGCCAUCACCUCUACAACACAGCCCCAUCUUCUUGCUGUCAGGACGAAGAAAAGCACCAUCCACGAGUUCUUCAUUGUUCUGGACAAACAGGUCAUCCCAUGCAAAUCAGCAAGUUCACUGGGAGCUUUUGAUGAACUUUUCAAGGCUCACUUUGUAUUUGGUACAGUUUAUCAUCAUACAAUCCACAACAUGUACAUCUUCAUACAAAAAGCCAUCUACAAAAUAGAUGCUGGCAAAGUUCAGGAGACUCCACGUCUCAAAGAGAUAUGGGCUAGGCUGUUAAACUAAGCAGUGAAUGAAUCAGGCUGCUCUGGGCAACAAUUUUGCCUAUAAAUGUGAUUAGUUUCUUAUGGUCAGAUUUUUUUCUAUUUUACUAUCUUUAUAUUUUACUUGUUCACUCAAUAAGUUUAAACAAUAUGGGGAAGAUUUGUUUUGUUUGUCAGAAACAUUUGGUCAGUACCAACAUACUUGUUAGGCAUAUAAGAUUAGGUCAUCGUUUAUGUCCUGGUCAGUCACUUCACCUAAAAUAUGCUCAGAGAGGUUGCUGCCAUAUUUUUGUACGUUUUCAGGAUUCAGGAAACAUUUAAACACAAAACAUGAUGAGCAGACUGAACAUGAACCCAAAAAUGAUGAAAGUGUGGCAUCCGGUUUUGCUGCAGAUAAAAUGCUAGUUCAAGAUUCUGUGGACUCAACAAUUAAUUCAGAAGUUCUACCUUUGCCAAACAGCUGUACUCAUGACACAUGUGUAUCUGCUAUUUUACAGCUGCAAUUUGAUGGCCAGUCCACGUUAAAUAAUUUUAUAUCAUCAAUGGAAGAAGUAGUUCUAGAUAUACAAAGUCAUGCUAAAGCUGCAGCUUUAAGAUGUUUAUCUUCUGAGAACAUUUCCGUGAGAGCUAAAAUUGAAUAAAGUAUUGAAA
Fundulus heteroclitus (mummichog) is the source of this 1569-nucleotide RNA transcript. RefSeq lists it as uncharacterized. Lineage: Eukaryota; Metazoa; Chordata; Actinopteri; Cyprinodontiformes; Fundulidae. The record is from RefSeq and is a predicted model, not a curated record. The transcript has 5 exons.